GCCCUCGUAGCUCAGGGGAUAGAGCACCGGCCUCCGGAGCCGGGUGCGUAGGUUCGAAUCCUACCGGGGGCACCA
RNAcentral lists this transfer RNA (75 nucleotides) under Acidimicrobiia bacterium. Its description in RNAcentral is "tRNA-Arg". It matches the Rfam family "tRNA". From Rfam's summary of the family: Transfer RNA (tRNA) molecules are approximately 80 nucleotides in length. Lineage: Bacteria; Bacillati; Actinomycetota; Acidimicrobiia. The record is from RNAcentral. RNAcentral also lists the same sequence under 1 other name.